Molecule: long non-coding RNA, 225 nt
Filed under: Elaeis guineensis (African oil palm)
Lineage: Eukaryota; Viridiplantae; Streptophyta; Magnoliopsida; Arecales; Arecaceae
Description: long non-coding RNA (EGUI_LNC059301)
Source: RNAcentral
UCCAGUCUCCCAUAUGCUCAACGAUAUAAGAUGCAACAUAAUCUACUGCGCUGUUCACCUUUCCAAAGAUAUGUCGAAAAGACACUGUGAUAGAAUCAUGAAAGAAAAUCCAGAUAUCAUGGAGGAGCAAAUGGCCUCCAGCUGCUUCAUAUCAUCCUGAAUCCAACUAUAACAGUGGCAGAACCUCUCUCUAUGAAAAUCUUCUCCAGCUCCUGUCUGGAACAG